GACAUCGCACCCCAACCAGGAG
Molecule: non-coding RNA, 22 nt
Filed under: Arabidopsis thaliana (thale cress)
Lineage: Eukaryota; Viridiplantae; Streptophyta; Magnoliopsida; Brassicales; Brassicaceae
Source: RNAcentral